ACUGAUUAGUUGGCAAGAGCAAACGGGACAAAUGCCUGUUUUUCUCAAAAAAAGUCAGGAUGGCUGGGACAGAGCUUAAAAAGGGAACUAUCCCAGCCAAAAGGGGAUGUAUGGUCACCCCACUUCCAGGCAAGUGAGUCCUGAGGGAGCCCAGCUGGGGUGAGGGCAGAACCUGGCCUAGCUGAUCGUGCCACUCCCGAGAGGCCGGAGCGAUUGCCCGCCCCAGCACUGUACUGGCCCCGGCCGCACUGCCAGCUCAGCCUGGCAGAUGCAGUCACCUCCCAGCAGGGCUGGUGAGUGUGGCCGAGGGACAGGGUGUGAGGGAGUGGGUCUCUGAGGGAUCUUUGGGGGUGGUGUUGGGCUGUGAGGUGGUGUGGCUGCUGGGCAGUGGAGGAGGUUUGUGUGUUUUGGGUGCUAGGCAGUGGGGGGUGUAGAAGCUAGUUGGCUCUAUAUAGCUGGGGAAAUCCCCAGCAUGGAGAUUGUGGGUUGUUUUCACUUCCUUAACCCCUAAGUAUUAAUUGUGGCCUUUUUUUUUUUUCCACUUUUGUGAAAUAUGCUCAGCUCUGAGACUGAACAUAACAGGUCUGUAGGUUUGUUCCAUUAUACAUCCUCUGCUGUUCAAAUAUUGCAUUGUUAGAGACCAUUUCCAUUGAAAUAUUUGCCAAAACUCCCCUUAAGUACAGUGGUUCCAUUCAGAAUCACACCUACAUCGAGAUAUAUUUCCUAGUGAUGAUCCUAUGUUUUCCCUUUCUUCACAGCUAGGCAAUCCAAAGAUGUUGGAUUGUUCCACACUUGAAAAUCCAGAUGUCUUUACUUUACUCUCUUGGACCUUGCUACUUGAUAGGUUGGAAACUUUUUCUGUUUGGUUUUUUGUAAGACUGUUUCACAGUUUGAGUAAUGUGGGUCACUAGGCUUCCCAUUCCCACUUCAGUAAUGUUUAUUGUAUUCAAAUGUAUGUAUGUCUAGUUCAGUGUUCACAUUUGCAGCUCCUGCAUGCAUUCAGUUUGCUUCUUCACUGCAUUGUAAUUAAUUGCUGUCUACUCUCUCUCCUCAGCUCACCUCCUUUUACCAAUGGUAAGUCCACUCUGCUCAAGUGCUCUUACUGAAGCACUACAAGAUGGCAUCUUUCACUUGUCAGGAAACAGGAUAUUUAGGAUUGAAAGAAUAAUCUUGACAUUUGUUUCCCCUUUGCCUUAGAUAUUUUACAAUAGUUUUAUGAAUCUCAGAUAUUAUACAUUUAUUGGACUUUGAGACUGUCUUAAAUAUUCUUUACCUGCUAUGUGUAGUGGCCCCCAAAGAGGUGUUUGGCCAUUAGAGAUCCUGACACACACGCACAAGUCUGAUUUUAAUGAUCCAAACAAUGAGGUUCCACCAUUUCCCUUUGUAGACUUUUGCACGGUGCAUGGUAAUAGACCCCCUCCACAUUAUGGAUGUUUUUACUAAUAUGCAUCUUACAUUUUCUUUGCUCUAUUUCUUCCCAUUCUAAUUAUAUUCUUUUGGACCACCUUAAAAAAAAACUGUUAUUUUGUCUCUAGGUAAGAAUAUGCAGUCCCAUACACACACAUCUUUGUCAAGCUGAUCAUAAGUAUCCUGAUUUUGUAAAAAACAAACAAACAAAUAAAUCAGAAUCUCAGCAUUUGUACCCAGCUCUGGAAGCUACAGAACGCUCCAGUCACCUCUUAACCUGACUACUGCAAAAUCCAGCUUUCUAGUUUCCCCUCUCUAUUCCCAUCCAAAAUGCUGCCAGUAAAACAAUUUUAUUUUUUCACCAUUUCAGACAUGUCUCCGUCAUUCUUGAAUCUGUACAUCUGCUUCAGUUCUUUGUCCUCAUUUAGUAUCUCUCUUUACCUAUAAGGUCCUCUGGCUGCAUCUAUACUCAUACACCAUUUCCUGCAUUUCACCCAAGUCUCACAGUUAUCCUCUGUGUCUGUGUCAACUGCUACAGACCCAUUCAGUAAAAACAGGUCAGGCUGCCUAAAAGUAGGUCUUUGCUGUGUUUCUAACCAUCUUUAAAAUAAGCUUAGCUGAAAACCAGUUAGGCAAAUUUCCCAAUGUACAUAGGCACAACAGGAUCCAUUAAGUAGCCCAGUGCUGUGUUAGCAGGAGAGAGGGAGGAGGAAUGACUUCUGUGGGUUUGUCAAACCUUUAUUUGUUCAUGUUUGUUUUGUAUUUAAUAGGCUUACAUCCAUGUCCUUGCUCUUUAAAGCACUGUAUUAUACACUGAAAUGGAUGGUUCCUUUCAGCCAUUAAACAAAGCCAAUAACCUGAAAGGAACCAUAGCUCAAAAACACAAUCUUGACCUCUGAUUGACCUUGACAUUUACAAGGAAAAAGAACUUUUCUUUUAACAGACAAAACAAGUCAGUGAGCCAGGAAGAACUAGAAGAAAAUGGUUAUGUUGCUUUUUGAUUACUUUGUUUAAACCAACAUACUACAUGGUUUACAGUACUUCAUUACAAUGUAUUAGGGCUUGGAGAUGAUUUAAUGCCUGUUUAUAAUUCAGACUAUUCUUGAAAUAAACAAGUGAAUGUUUGGAAAAUGGAU
Dermochelys coriacea (leatherback sea turtle) is the source of this 2543-nucleotide long non-coding RNA. RefSeq lists it as uncharacterized. The record is from RefSeq and is a predicted model, not a curated record. The transcript has 2 exons. NCBI's taxonomy places the organism in Eukaryota, Metazoa, Chordata, Testudines, Dermochelyidae.